RNA transcript from Oncorhynchus kisutch (coho salmon), 6369 nucleotides. It is a transcript of the gene named calcium/calmodulin-dependent protein kinase (CaM kinase) II beta 1, with no coding region annotated. The record is from RefSeq and is a predicted model, not a curated record. NCBI's taxonomy places the organism in Eukaryota, Metazoa, Chordata, Actinopteri, Salmoniformes, Salmonidae. The transcript is spliced from 26 exons.
CGCCCAAUCGAGGGCAGCGCUGAGCAGAUCGAGCUAUAGGGCUUUGGAGCGCUUCGCUUUGCACAGUCGAGUGAACUGGUGAGGAACGAUACAGUACACUACAGUAGAAAAAUUGUGGGGGAGACGAGAGUAAACAACCACCUUAGACGCACACAACCAUACCCUUAUACGGCAGCCGAUAAGGUUAUCUUUGAGUCGCCUGCAGCGCAGAAAGAGCACUCGUAUUUUGAGAAGAAUUUGGCUACAUACCGCGCAGGAGGAUCAUAUCUAGCAAAGGAGCAGCCGUGAGAGAAGCACGAGAUACGGAGACAUGGCUGCGACAACCUGUACACGAUUCACGGACGAAUUUCAGCUAUAUGAAGAGCUGGGAAAGGGAGCCUUUUCAGUGGUGCGCAGAUGUGUCAAGCUGUGUACUGGACAGGAAUAUGCCGCCAAAAUAAUCAACACCAAAAAGCUAUCUGCAAGAGAUCACCAGAAGCUAGAGAGAGAGGCCCGUAUUUGUCGCCUGCUCAAGCACUCCAACAUCGUACCAUGGCGACGGAAGGCUCAGGUUCCUGGGUCUGGCCUCGUUCGUCUUCAUGACAGUAUAUCAGAGGAAGGCUUCCACUAUCUCCUAUUUGACUUGGUGACUGGAGGGGAGCUGUUCGAGGACAUCGUAGCCAGAGAGUACUACAGUGAGGCUGAUGCCAGUCAUUGCAUCCAGCAGAUCCUGGAGGCAGUGCUACACUGCCAUCAAAUGGGCGUGGUGCACCGAGACCUGAAGCCAGAGAACCUGCUCCUGGCCAGCAAAUGCAAGAAUGCUGCCGUCAAGCUGGCUGACUUUGGCCUGGCCAUCGAGGUACAGGGGGAUCAGCAAGCCUGGUUUGGAUUUGCUGGCACACCGGGAUACCUGUCCCCUGAGGUUCUGAGAAAGGAGGCAUAUGGCAAACCUGUGGACAUCUGGGCCUGCGGGGUGAUUCUGUAUAUCCUGCUGGUGGGCUACCCUCCCUUCUGGGACGAGGACCAGCACAAACUGUACCAACAGAUAAAAGCAGGGGCAUACGAUUUUCCCUCCCCAGAGUGGGACACAGUCACUCCAGAGGCUAAGAACCUGAUUAACCAGAUGUUGACCAUCAACCCUGCCAAGAGGAUCACCGCCCAGGAGGCCCUCAAACACCCAUGGGUCUGCCAACGUUCUACAGUGGCAUCCAUGAUGCACAGGCAGGAGACCGUGGAGUGCCUGAAGAAAUUCAACGCCAGGAGGAAACUCAAGGGGGCCGUGCUCACGGCUAUGCUGGUUUCACGGAACUUCUCUGUCGGCUGUCGCUCCACCGCUCCAAUCAGUAUCACUGCCGCUGCGGCAGCUGCAUCCGCGGCAGCGGGCUCCACCACUGGGCUGGUGGAACAAGCAGCCAAAAGUUUGCUCAACAAGAAGGCAGAUGUCAAGGAACGUAGAUCCAGCUCCGCUGCGCGGCACAUGCCCCAGACACCACAGACAAACAGCACCAAAAACAGCAUAGUCACCAGCCCUAAAGGAAACGUCCCUACUCCUGUUCUGGAGCCUCAGACCACUGUUAUCCAUAAUCCAGUGGAUGGGACUAAGGAAUCAUCUGACAGCAGCAACACGGUGGAGGACGAAGAUGUCAAAGGGAAGAGUAUAGACAGUUCAGUAAAGACCGAGUCCCAGCCUGACACCUUUGCCCCACAGCCCCAGGUCUCCUCGCCCGCUGUGUACUCCACCAAGCUGUCAGACCUGUUUGGCGUUGUACGCAAGGCAUCAGGGCCCAUGUCUGACGGGGAAGGGGCCACCAGCACACCUCCACCCCCUCCAGCCAACCCCUCUGUCGCCGCCUCCCCACCCAUGGCUCACACCCCCAUGCAGCUGUCCCGUCUUUCAGACCUAGUGAGCAAUGUUCGCCGGUCGCCUGCCUCAGCCCCUCCCCCCGUCAAACCUGCGCCCCCCCGAGGUAGAGGUGGCACCAGCCCCCAGGCCCACCCCCCCCUCAUCACACCCCACCUCCCCUCCCUCCAUGUCCCCCUCCAGCCUCUCCCUCACCUCUCAGACACGCAAACAAGAGAUCAUCAAGAUCACUGAACAGCUGAUCGAGGCUGUCAACAAUGGAGACUUCGAGGCAUACGCUAAGAUCUGUGAUCCUGGCCUGACCUCCUUUGAACCUGAGGCCCUGGGCAACCUGGUGGAAGGAAUGGACUUCCACAGAUUCUACUUUGAGAACCUCCUGUCUAAGAACAGUAAGCCUAUCCACACCACAAUCCUGAAUCCCCACGUCCACCUGAUUGGAGAGGACGCUGCCUGCAUCGCCUACAUCCGCCUCACCCAAUUCGUUGAUGGCCAGGGCCAUCCGCGCUCCAGCCAAUCAGAGGAGACUAGGGUAUGGCACCGCCGGGAGGCCAAGUGGCAGAACGUUCACUUCCACUGCUCGGGUGCGCCUGCCGCGCCACUCCAGUGAGGAGUAGAAUGCCAUAGCCACAUCUAACAAGAGUGCUCUGCUGGAGAGAGAUAGAGGGAGAGCAAAUCCAGUGUCAGGCGCCAGACGCCUCCCACACACUAGAUACCUAGCAUGCUUCUCUUCUUUACGACUACCUAUCGCCACCCGCCACUGUAUCCACUGACAACCAUCUCAACAACCAACCAACCAUCCGACAACAAUCUAUUGUUUUUUCCAACAACAACCCCCUUCUCCCCCUCAAGCCCAAACUUUGGACAAUUCACGUUUUGCCCCUUUUCUCCAACCCCAACCCCUCCAACCCAACCACUGGCUCACCUAUGGUAAUAUUGGGCUGUGGGUAGGGAGUGUUUCGAGGGGUAUGAUGGGGGGUGUUGGGGUGUUUUCUUGGCCUCAUUGUGCAUUUUGAUUCUUCUUCUUAUGUUACAUGAUGUUCCCUCUUCUUCCUCUUGUGAAUCUUUACUUGUGUUGCGUAACACUACACAGGAAAUACAGUAUGUAAAGUUUGAAGUAAAAUCUAUUAUUAUUAUGAUUAUUACUAUUACACAAUUGAAAUUGUAUAUGUAAUUUGUAUAAUUCAAAUGAUUGAUGCCAGUGGUUUCUAGAGUUGAAGGAAAUCUUUUGUUUUCUCUAUCUUUUUAAGGAAGCAUGUUGUUUUUCAGUAUUCACAGUGGCUGUUUUCUAUUGUGGCUUUUAAGUGACAAAAUGGUAUUGGUAGUUUUUGUAUAAGCUUCUUGUAUUUAAUCUAUUAUAUUAUACUAGACCAAAGCUCAUGUUUAAGAAAAAUAACUUUUGGGAGAAGGGGGGGUGUUAGACGUGGUGUGGAGGAAGCGAGUGUGUGAAUGUUAGAAAUGUGUGUGUGUGCGUGUGUGUGGAACCAAGUACAUGGGAGUAUUAGUCCAUAGGUGGCCGGUUUUAUCAACUGGUUUGAAUUUUCAGCUUUGUAAUGUGAAUAGCUGGAAAUGGGGUUGGCUUGGUUUGGUGUCUUCCGUCGUCCGGUCACAAUCAACUGUACGAAACGAGAUUCAACAGUAACAGAGGCUUUUAUUGUAUUUCACACUAAUCAUGUUUUUGCCUUUUUUGUGUUUAUUAUUAUUAACAUAUCUCAGAGGGUAGACCUACCGGUUCUCUCUUACUCUCUGGUGUUGGCCGUUGGUGUGUGGGAAGGCUCAGUGAUCCCCAGUGCUCCCGGUGGUUCGAUUAGAUAUUGCGGUACACUGCACUGCACAAACUGCAAAUGAGGCCUCUAGAAUUUUACAGCCGCUAGAAAGCAGUUUUGCAGUCUCUUUAAAACAGUACAGUACCUAUAACACCUCUGACAUCUCAUCUUUCUGCACAGGGAUGCUUUUUGAACCUUUGGUGAGCAGAGAUGAAGCCUUACACACUUAAAUCCUUACUGCGUCCCAAGGUGCAACUGUCCUUUCUCUCACACGUCAACCUUGAGCCAGUUGCACUCUGAACCUAUAUAAAAUCUGGAAACUACUGAGGUCCUGCGUUGCAUAGAGCCGUGCCUAGGGCUCCAUGCCUGUUUAAUAUGUUUAGUGGGGUUUAAUGGAGAGCUAACAGGGCAGGCUGUUGGAUUGGAGAGAUGUGGGCCUGUGCAGUCUGCGGGUAGCAGGUGUUUUAGUGGUGAGGUCAAGUAAAUGUGUGGGUGUUUACUUUGCGUACACCUUGUCCCUCUGUCCUGUGGUCUCUAGUUGUUGCUGCUCAUUUCAGAGUGGAAGAAUGUGACUGAGGUCUCAGGGUAUCCAGAAGACUGUGUGUAUAAGGGAAUAGCUCCUGUGUUGGUUUUCCACAUGAUGGAGAUUUUAGAGGAGAGGAGAAGAGAGGAGAGGAGAGGCUUUAUUUCAGCAGUCCUAUCAGUCCUCUACCUUCAGUCCACAACUUACUUUUGUUAUGAUUUUUAUGUAUAUUACAUUUUCACAUUUGUAAUAUCAUCUUCAUUGACUUGUGUUACUAUUGCAUGUUAUUGACUAGUGUUACUACUCAUUGUGUUUUUUUGCCAGUGUGAGAUGGACAGAUGGAUUGACAUGUUUUAGGAAGAGAUGGCUUCACACACCCAUGUAUAUGUAUAUGAAGAAAAAUCAGCUCUGGAGUGUUUGGUAAUGUUGCAGGCCGACUAUAUCACAGUCGUUGCAUUUCAUCAACAGUCGGGUAUCCGGUUACUAUAAUAUAUCAUAGGAUGGGGUUAUCUGAUAUGUUAAAUACCUAUCCAGACGUUGUGAGAUCUGUCAGGUGUCUGCAACAUAUAGUCAGCCAGGAAGUUGAUCGAAGUUUCACAUUUUGGAUCUAAGUGAGUGUUGUUGUUUUUUUGCCAUUCUACCACCAUAGUUGUUAUGCCUGCUUGUGAUUGGCUGCCUUUGGAAGUGUCUCAUUAUUAUUGGCCUGACAAUUUUGACCAUCUCAAUGAAUAGUGAGGUGGUCAGCCGAUUGGUUAGUCCUCAGGUUUAUAUUUAUUUAUUGUAUUAUUUAUUUAUUUAUUUUAUUGGUCAGUUAUGUGCUUUUUCUUCAAUGUUUUAUUUAGUUUUUCCCUCGAUAUACAGCUCACGUAAAUGUUAAAUUACUCUCUGUGGCAUUGUGAUUUGGGGCGGCAGGUAGCCUAGUGGUUAGAGCGGGCCAGUAACCAAAAGGUUGCUGGGUUGAAUCCCCGAGCUGACAAGGUAAAAAUCUGUCAUUCUGCUCCUGAACAAGGCAGUUAACCCACUGUUCCUAGGCCGUCAUUGUAAAUAAGAAUUUGUUCUUAACUGACUUGCCCUAAAUAAAGGUUGAAUUUUUUUUAAAUGUAGAGGUCCUCUUCUAAUGUCCCUAGAAGUGUUCCUGAGUGAUUGAGCCAACCAAACAUGUGAACCGACCUCUUCCCCCUCUCCAAACAAAUAAGAAAUAGCAGCAUGUACAAAGCAGCAUGUAUUAGCUAUUAACUAGCAUCUUAGCUGGCAUUUCUUUGCAUGAUAGUCAACAGGACACUAGUUUUGGUGUUAACCCUGAAUUGUCUUCUAAUUUUUCAUUUUCUACUGAACGCUGGUGUACUAAACCUUUCUCAAUCUAUUUUCUGAGCUUUUUAAGUGCAUAAAACUAUUUUUGUCUCGAGACGACAUAGCGAAGAUAGACGAGAGGCUGACUUUGAUAUUGAUGAUUAUGACAAGGAGGAUGAUGAUGAUGAUGAUUCUAUAGCAUGCUUUUAUAUGGAGCUCAGUGUUGUCAAUCCAGAGUGGCUUACUUCUAUACAUACAGCAGAGAGAGGAUCACCUCAAACCAUAAGCAUUUCCAGUGACUCUUGCUGAACUGAACUUGCAUGUGGGACUUGGGGGGAAAUCCUAACUUCCAUUUAAGUACAUUUUUAACAUAGUAUUGCAUUUGAUGUCACUGGUACUGUAGACUAAGUGGACAUUUUACUUACAGGGAAUGCAUAAUCUCAAACAGCAACAAUCAAAUAUAGUAGAGCAUGGAGUAGGCCUAGAUAGGCUCAAAGAUGCCCUCUGGUGGUUAAAAGGAGCAUUAAAGGCAUGCACUGCGACGUACUGAAUCCUAGCCACAGAAUACUGCACAAUAUACACACUGGACUAUGUUUCGUUGAGUUAAUUUUGGAAACGUUUUAAACAAUAGGAAUACAAAGUGCACCCAUCCAGUGACUAGACCACCUGUACUGAAAACACUGAGCUAGUAUCUCUGUAGUAUUUAUUUAACUCUUUUCCUAGUCCCUCUGUUUAAAAACUUUAUUCAAUCAUUUCUCUGCAGUUGGGUCUUAGUUUUGUUUUUGUCAGUUUGGGUUUCUUCUGUAGAAUACAUUUAUCCUAUAUUUCUCUGAUUCUUCUGAUUAUUGUGCUACCCCAAUGUGCUACAUGUGUUUCUCAAACUUAAGGAAAUGUGUUAAGGUGUUAUCAAUAAAAUGACAAUUUAAAUAAAAAUAAGUUAAUUAUCAUCUUAA